UACGAGGGGGGCAAGUGUUGUUCGGAAUUACUGGGCGUAAAGCGCACGUAGGCGGCUUUGUAAGUUAGAGGUGAAAGCCCAGGGCUUAACCCUGGAAUUGCCUUUAAGACUGCAUCGCUAGAAUCGUGGAGAGGUGAGUGGAAUUCCGAGUGUAGAGGUGAAAUUCGUAGAUAUUCGGAAGAACACCAGUGGCGAAGGCGACUCACUGGACACGUAUUGACGCUGAGGUGCGAAAGCGUGGGGAGCGAACAGG
RNAcentral lists this ribosomal RNA (253 nucleotides) under uncultured bacterium. RNAcentral describes it as "partial 16S ribosomal RNA". It matches the Rfam family "Bacterial small subunit ribosomal RNA", at positions 524 to 776 of the family's 1533-position model. The record is from RNAcentral.